This is a non-coding RNA of Devosia sp., 117 nucleotides long. The record is from Rfam. Lineage: Bacteria; Pseudomonadati; Pseudomonadota; Alphaproteobacteria; Hyphomicrobiales; Devosiaceae.
CGCAUAUUUCGCCCAGGCGGAGCUCGACCGCCCGUUCAAGCGAUGAUUGCCUUCAUUGAUGAGCACCGGGAUGCUUAUGGGGUCGAGCCGAUCUGCAAGGUUCUGCCGAUCGCCCCA